RNAcentral lists this ribosomal RNA (421 nucleotides) under uncultured bacterium. RNAcentral describes it as "bacterial SSU rRNA". It matches the Rfam family "Bacterial small subunit ribosomal RNA", at positions 360 to 772 of the family's 1533-position model. The record is from RNAcentral.
AAUAUUGGACAAUGGGCGCAAGCCUGAUCCAGUCAUGCCGCGUGGGUGAAGAAGGCCUUCGGGUUGUAAAGCCCUUUUGUCCGGAAAGAAAAGCUUUCGGUUAAUACCCGGAAGUCCUGACGGUACCGGAAGAAUAAGCACCGGCUAACUUCGUGCCAGCAGCCGCGGUAAUACGUAGGGUGCAAGCGUUGUCCGGAUUUAUUGGGCGUAAAGAGCUCGUAGGCGGUUUAGCAAGUCGGGUGUGAAAACUUCAGGCUCAACCUGGAGAUGCCACUCGAGACUGCUAUGACUUGAGUCUGGUAGGGGAGCACGGAAUUCCUGGUGUAGCGGUGAAAUGCGCAGAUAUCAGGAGGAACACCGGUGGCGAAGGCGGUGCUCUGGGCCAGUACUGACGCUGAGGAGCGAAAGCGUGGGUAGCAAA